ACGGAGGGUGCAAGCGUUAUCCGGAUUCACUGGGUUUAAAGGGUGCGUAGGAGGGCAGGUAAGUCAGUGGUGAAAUCUCCAAGCUUAUCUUGGAAACUGCCGUUGAUACUAUCUGUCUUGAAUACCGUGGAGAUGAGCGGAAUAUGUCAUGUAGCGGGGAAAUGCUUAGAUAUGACAUAGAACACCAAUUGCGAAGGCAGCUCGUUACACGAAGAUUGACUCU
This 223-nucleotide ribosomal RNA is filed under the name uncultured prokaryote. Its description in RNAcentral is "partial 16S ribosomal RNA". It matches the Rfam family "Bacterial small subunit ribosomal RNA", at positions 525 to 747 of the family's 1533-position model. The record is from RNAcentral.